This 337-nucleotide unclassified non-coding RNA is filed under the name soil metagenome. RNAcentral describes it as "partial contains 5.8S ribosomal RNA, internal transcribed spacer 2, and large subunit ribosomal RNA". The stretch from base 1 to 120 matches the Rfam family "5.8S ribosomal RNA", at positions 35 to 154 of the family's 154-position model. The record is from RNAcentral.
GAUGAAGAACGUAGCGAAAUGCGAUAAGUAGUGUGAAUUGCAGAAUUCAGUGAAUCAUCGAAUCUUUGAACGCACAUUGCGCCCCUUGGUAUUCCAUGGGGCAUGCCUGUUCGAGCGUCAUUUGUACCUUCAAGCUCUGCUUGGUGUUGGGUGUUUGUCUCGCCUCUGCGUGUAGACUCGCCUCAAAACAAUUGGCAGCCGGCGUAUUGAUUUCGGAGCGCAGUACAUCUCGCGCUUUGCACUCAUAACGACGACGUCCAAAAGUACAUUUUUACACUCUUGACCUCGGAUCAGGUAGGGAUACCCACUGAACUUAAGCAUAUCAAUAAGCGGAGGA